This 284-nucleotide unclassified non-coding RNA is filed under the name Hevea brasiliensis (rubber tree). The record is from RNAcentral. Lineage: Eukaryota; Viridiplantae; Streptophyta; Magnoliopsida; Malpighiales; Euphorbiaceae.
GGAUGGAGAAGAAGAAGUAUAUUUUAAAGGACAGUGUGAAGAACACAAACCGCAGAGACAAGUCAAAUUUCAUUUUGGUCCCCAGGCGAGAGGAUCAGUCAGCUACUUCAAGUGGGAUUGGAGUUUCGGAUGUGGGUACAGCUGACUUUGGAAAGAAAAAAAUUCUGCUUCUCAAGGGGAAAGAGCGAGAUAUAUCUUAUUUGCAGAGUGCUACAUCUUCUGGGAAUUCUCCUGCAAGUGCAUCAAAACAUAAUCAGAGGCGUGAGGCUGGUGGAAGCAUGAUC